Molecule: ribosomal RNA, 256 nt
Filed under: uncultured bacterium
Lineage: Bacteria
Description: partial 16S ribosomal RNA
Rfam family: Bacterial small subunit ribosomal RNA
Source: RNAcentral
UACAGGGGGUGCAAACGUUGCUCGGAAUCAUUGGGCGUAAAGCGCACGUAGGCGGUUCGUUAUGUCGGAUGUGAAAGCCCUCGGCUUAACUGAGGAAGUGCACCCGAAACUGAGUAGCUAGAGUACUAAAGAGGGUCGCGGAAUUCCCGGUGUAGAGGUGAAAAUUCGUAGAUAUCGGGGAGGAACACCGGUGGCGAAGGCGGCGACCUGGGUAGAUACUGACGCUGAGGCGCGAAAAGCGUGGGGAGCAAACAGG